This is a long non-coding RNA of Acanthochromis polyacanthus (spiny chromis), 2358 nucleotides long. RefSeq lists it as uncharacterized. The transcript has 2 exons. Lineage: Eukaryota; Metazoa; Chordata; Actinopteri; Pomacentridae. The record is from RefSeq and is a predicted model, not a curated record.
CUCUAGAUCAAAUGAGAAAUUCAGCAAACCGCCAGCGAGAGUGGAGUCUGUUUAAUGCUCGGUUCGCUUCAGUGCAGCUUAAAGCAGAGGCAAAUACACUCAUCACUAUGAAAAUGCUUGGCUGAGAUGUUGAGUCUCCCUCUGCAGACAACCCUAAAUGCUUCUGUUUCCAUCUCUGUGACGAGGUGCACAAAGGCAAUUUCUGAAAGUGGAAGCGGCUCGCCUUAAAGCCGCUGAUUCUCCAGGGCCGGAUAGCAGCGGAAACAAGCAGCUCAUUGAUGCCAGAGUGUCACCCUGACAGACAGACAGACAGACAGACCACUUUAGUACAAGCAGCAACAAAGGGGCCAGUCCACAGCCACGUUGCCAAUUAGCAGGAAUUUCGGCCUCAAGAGCCACUCCCCCCCUCCUCCUCCUCCUCCUCCUAGUCUCAUUGGAGCUGACAGAAAUAUCUAUGGCCCUCACUGGAAGGCAUUCAUGGGAUUCCAAGGAGCAUUAGGUCCCCUCUGUGGAGCCUGAAAUCUGGCAGUUAGAAAGGACAAUGGGCCAUCUCGUACCACUUUGAGAAACACUUCUCACUCACUGGCUGGCGUCAUCGCCGGGAUCGCAGGAGGCAUGCUAAUAGCCUUGUGAAAGUGGCAACAUUUGUCUUGGCUUCACAGCAGGUGGAAACAUUUAUCGUGAACCAUGUAUCCCCUUGAAACCGUGUCAGAAGCGUGAACUGAGCAAAAUGUAUGACAGCAAUCACCAAGCAGCACGGCUUCACGCUCAGCAUCAGUUCAUGUCACCGGUCCAACAUCAAACAUAAGGACACCGAAUCCAUCUGUGGGCCAUAAUAUGUUUUUCAUUCCGGCUGCCAAACAUCCUAAUUCCUUCAGGAAAAUACAAAAACACACACACACACACACGCAGGCCAAAAAAAAAAAUCUAUGGAGGAUUAGUCUAAUGCACUACUGAUAAUCAAAUGUAAUAGCAACUUUAUUUCAUUAAAACACUAUUGAUGGCAGUAUAAAAAUAAAUGUUCAGAUUCAGAAAGGAUUACUGUAGUAGAGAAAAAAAAACAAGCGGAGGGGUUUAUACACAAUAUUUUAAGCUGCAACAACACACUGUCACAGCGGUGCAGCAGGUUUUAGAGCGCCUGUCAGCAGCACAAGGGCUGCGCCAACUGACAUCUCUAACUGCCAUGAUGGCAAAUAUGUCAUGCAGUGACGUCUUGCACAAACCGAUACUUAAGUGUCUGAGAGGAAAAUCUCGUCUAGACGCUAAAACCUGGUCUAAUUUUCUGUGUGAAUGACAACAGGCUUGGUUAGCAGAUCUGUGGGGUGAUCCUGGAUCAGCAGUCUGGCUGGAGGAGUCAGGACUCGUGUGUAGAGUUUAUACAGGCCUAUGGAUAGUCAGUGUUAAGACACAAACAAUACAGACUGAAUCCAUAUGCUCUGAGGGACAGCUUUGCUCAACACAAUACACACUGUACAGCUAAUAUGAGGCCAAUGCACACCUCACCUCUUCUUUUAAUCGGCACCGCCACAUUAGAGUCAGUAUCUGAACUUAAAGUCAUGUUGAGUGGAAGAAACUAAUCCUAAGCACAUGACAGCCACGUCUUCAAAGUGAGUGGGAUCCUAAGAAGGAAAGUCUGCGGCAUUCGGAGUGAACAAAAGCAAAUGAUGUCCACAGAGCUUAUUUGUGUCCUCUGAUGUUCUCCCUUUCACAUAAAACAAAACAAGUACAGCAGGUAGCCCAUAAAAGUCUGAGUGCAGAGAGCUGCCAAGUUUCAGCCGUGAAGGCUUCCACCCAGGGAGCCUCUUCCCCCAAAACCAGGGAUAGGUGUGGUGAUGGUUUCCCAGAGCAGUGCAAAGGAGGCAUGGAGCCCCAGUUUCUACAGCAUGUUGGAGGAGCCCUGCUGACUGUCAGAGCUGCUGCUACAGCUGCAACCAGUCAUUUCAGUGGAUUACAAGGCGAGAAAACUGCAGCCUGAGAUGGAACCGUGUCGGUGAAACACCAAGUUUACUCACCCUGAAGCUGCCGGAGAUUUGGCGUCGUCGCUCUUCAGCCGAUCAGACAGGCGGCUGUCGCAUCAAACCAUUCAUAAACUGAUUAGAGAGACUGAAAGCGCACAGAUCCUAAAAUUGGGAGCAGCGGAGACGGUCGGUGCCAGAAGCCAGCGACGGAGAGAGGCGACGAGGAUCCCAUUGAAGUGGAGGGUCGGCCCGGUGAGGAAGCCUCCGGAGCUACGGACACAUCUUCCAUUCACCAGAGCAGAGGAAGACAGCAGGAAGACUCGGAUGCUGGUGGGAACCCGGAGCUUUCCGUGCAGAAGCAGCAGCAGCCGACAGCCUGCUUGAAGGCAGCGACACCAAA